RNAcentral lists this ribosomal RNA (892 nucleotides) under Levilactobacillus brevis. RNAcentral describes it as "bacterial SSU rRNA". It matches the Rfam family "Bacterial small subunit ribosomal RNA", at positions 51 to 907 of the family's 1533-position model. Lineage: Bacteria; Bacillati; Bacillota; Bacilli; Lactobacillales; Lactobacillaceae. The record is from RNAcentral.
AUACAUGCAAGUCGAACGAGCUUCCGUUGAAUGACGUGCUUGCACUGAUUUCAACAAUGAAGCGAGUGGCGAACUGGUGAGUAACACGUGGGAAAUCUGCCCAGAAGCAGGGGAUAACACUUGGAAACAGGUGCUAAUACCGUAUAACAACAAAAUCCGCAUGGAUUUUGUUUGAAAGGUGGCUUCGGCUAUCACUUCUGGAUGAUCCCGCGGCGUAUUAGUUAGUUGGUGAGGUAAAGGCCCACCAAGACGAUGAUACGUAGCCGACCUGAGAGGGUAAUCGGCCACAUUGGGACUGAGACACGGCCCAAACUCCUACGGGAGGCAGCAGUAGGGAAUCUUCCACAAUGGACGAAAGUCUGAUGGAGCAAUGCCGCGUGAGUGAAGAAGGGUUUCGGCUCGUAAAACUCUGUUGUUAAAGAAGAACACCUUUGAGAGUAACUGUUCAAGGGUUGACGGUAUUUAACCAGAAAGCCACGGCUAACUACGUGCCAGCAGCCGCGGUAAUACGUAGGUGGCAAGCGUUGUCCGGAUUUAUUGGGCGUAAAGCGAGCGCAGGCGGUUUUUUAAGUCUGAUGUGAAAGCCUUCGGCUUAACCGGAGAAGUGCAUCGGAAACUGGGAGACUUGAGUGCAGAAGAGGACAGUGGAACUCCAUGUGUAGCGGUGGAAUGCGUAGAUAUAUGGAAGAACACCAGUGGCGAAGGCGGCUGUCUAGUCUGUAACUGACGCUGAGGCUCGAAAGCAUGGGUAGCGAACAGGAUUAGAUACCCUGGUAGUCCAUGCCGUAAACGAUGAGUGCUAAGUGUUGGAGGGUUUCCGCCCUUCAGUGCUGCAGCUAACGCAUUAAGCACUCCGCCUGGGGAGUACGACCGCAAGGUUGAAACUCAAAGG